Molecule: long non-coding RNA, 1109 nt
Organism: Oncorhynchus tshawytscha (Chinook salmon)
Lineage: Eukaryota; Metazoa; Chordata; Actinopteri; Salmoniformes; Salmonidae
Source: Ensembl
CUCACUCAGUGCUUUCUUUUGUGAGCUGCUGAUCUAAUGUACCACAUAGAGGAUUAUAUUUAUUCUAUGAAAACGUAAUAUCAAUUUUAAUGUGGCAUCGCGUGGGCCUCAGGAAUACAAUCUCUGACAGAAACCACUCCCAACAGGGCCUGCAGUAUUAAUGAUCUGCGGUUAUAGUUGUAUAGAUCUACUUCAACGACACAACCCUAGGCUCAUGAAAAAGUACAUCUUUGGUUUGGAGUGGAAACGCACUUAAAUGACAAAAGCGAGGAGUAGAGAGUCCAUUUUGGAAGAUUCCCAGGCUUGGAUCUGGGUUCAUACUCGGUGCAAGUGAAUGAAUGGAUGGCUGUGGCCUGGCAUCAACGGUCCUGCUGCUUUAUAGGAGCUGACAGAGGCCAUCUGAGCUACUUGGCUUUUAAUCACUCCCCUUUCUCCAGGCCACUGGAAAUCAGCUUAGCAUAUGGCUCUCAGACAAAGCCAGAGAGAGGGGGCAUCGCAUAGCAUGAUCUUAAAUGACACCCUGGCUUAUUUUGUAUGAUGCAGAGUGUGUCUUGUGAAAAAGUGUUUGUUGUAUUUCACUUAAUUUGUGCAUUGUAAGUAAAAAAAAAGUGACUAAUUUUAUUCAAUUGCCAAAGCCUCACUGCCUUUCUGACUAUGUAUCACCGCUAUACUGACUGAGGCAUUAUAUUUUGCCUAAAUUAUUAGUUGAUGUUGAAGAGGAAGGAAAUGCCACACUAUAGAUAUCAGCUACUGUUCCGGACUGAAGCAAAGCAGACCUAGUCAACCCAGACAUUGCUUAUUGACUUAUGACACAAUCAAGUGGGACCUCUUAUGACAUGAAAGGGAUUUAUGUGUUAACAAAGAACUCCCACAGUGAAAUGUUCCAUUUAUAGAUAUCUACCUACGUCAGACGAUGUGGAAAUGUAUAAAUCCUAUAAGGGGUCUGUGUCAGAUCUGCAUGUUGUUGACCAGUACAUGAUGGAGAUACAGUGUGAAAGUAUCCCAUGCGGUUGAUGAUGGGCAGAAGAGAUGACAGGUGCUCCAGGGAGCAGGAUCAGCCAGCCAUGUCCUUCUGGAGGUCUGACACCACGCAUAGGGUUAUGUUAGGA